GCACGCGAAGUAUUGCAUCCACGGCCGA
This 28-nucleotide small RNA is filed under the name Bombyx mori (domestic silkworm). RNAcentral's name for it is "ovarian small RNA-16370". Lineage: Eukaryota; Metazoa; Arthropoda; Insecta; Lepidoptera; Bombycidae. The record is from RNAcentral.